UCCUCCAUGGCGCAAUUGGCUAGCGCGUCUGACUGUUAUUCACAACCGUUCUUCGGCUCGAGCAAGCAAUCAGGAGGUUCCUGGUUCGAGCCCAGGUGGGGGAG
Molecule: transfer RNA, 104 nt
Filed under: Corynespora cassiicola Philippines
Lineage: Eukaryota; Fungi; Ascomycota; Dothideomycetes; Pleosporales; Corynesporascaceae
Rfam family: tRNA
About the family: Transfer RNA (tRNA) molecules are approximately 80 nucleotides in length. Their secondary structure includes four short double-helical elements and three loops (D, anti-codon, and T loops).
Source: Rfam by way of RNAcentral